This is a long non-coding RNA of Homarus americanus (American lobster), 545 nucleotides long. RefSeq lists it as uncharacterized. The transcript is spliced from 3 exons. The record is from RefSeq and is a predicted model, not a curated record. Lineage: Eukaryota; Metazoa; Arthropoda; Malacostraca; Decapoda; Nephropidae.
GGGUUUAAGUCCUUGUAACCAAUGUAUAUUAUUGGAACUGUUGUUGUUGGCAGCAGGGCUUGGGGCCAGUUGUCGCUCAGCUGUUGUGAGGGAGAGUCGGUGUGAGUCGCGCUCCCAUUGUGCGGUAUAUGUGAAUGGUUUAUUCUCUCGUCUCUCAGUUGGAUGUAUUUCCUAACUUAAGUGUCUGGCCUGUAAGUAACGACUACACUAGUUAACAUAAUUUUAGAUACCAUAGAAAAAAGUACUUGAACAAAUCCCUUGUUGCUUCAGCUCAACUAGUUAGCUUUUGUUAAUAUAUCUCCACAGCUUGAACCUCCGCUGACGGGAAUAACGCCAAGCCGUGUUUGAAAAUUACUCCACGUGGUAUAAUUAUUGCCUUUUACUGUGAUUCUGUGUACUGUAGGAGUUAAAGCUGCCCUAGAAAUUCUCUAUUGAUAAGACGGAAUAAAGAACCGGUGUGGACGUUCGCCCUCCUCUCCUGGACAUUAUGAAGAGGUGGUGAGGGCGUGGCGGCGUGGGCGUGGGAGAAUAUGGUCUCUGGCAGC